ACAAAAUGAUGCUUUUACUAAAGUGGUAGAAAAGGAAAGGGAACUCAGGAAAGAAAGACUGAAAGGCAAAGAAUGGCAGUCAAGAAAUGAAGCUCUUCAUGGAGCUUGGACAACAGAAAUACGGACUAUUUUCGUUAAUGCCCAACUCAAGAGGAGAAGUCAGUUUCAUAGUGUGUGCACUGUGUGCAAGAAAAGUGGCCGAAUCCUCGUAUGCUGUUAUGAUUGUAAGCAACAUUUAUGCUGGGAAUGUGAUUAUGCAUUCCAUUUUUUCAAUCCACUUCAUGCCAGAGUUUAUAAAACAAGUAAAAACUACUCAACUGAGCAACUAUUACCAAUCGAGUUUAUGAACGAGUUUGGUCAAAAAAUUGAGAAAGACGUUCCUGUAACUUGCUUCCCUCCUUCCAGGUGUUGGAGUUGUAGCUGGACACUUGUGUAUUAAAUACCGGAACCAACGAUGUUAUACUGUUAUCACAGUUAAAAAGGAAGGUUCGAUUUAAAGUCUGCCAGUUUCAGCUGCACUUCUUGCGUGUAGGGAGGCCCUCGAUGAAGAGUACGUUUAUUCAGAAUGGCUACCAGGUAAACCAGGAAAGGAUAAGGAAGAACCUGCUAAUCUCUUUUUUGAUGAACAUCUUUUGGAUACCUGUACGAAAUUCAAAACAAUACUCCUGGAACAUCACAAGAAAUGUUUCUGAGAAGUCUUUCUCAAAUGUCUACUCAAAAUGGCCAGCCAAGUUACAUCAAUCCAAUUCUGUUUUUUAAAGCCUAUGAUGAGAAUAAUCUAAUGAAGUGCAUUCAUCUCGUUCAGUUCUUACAAUAAUAAAUCAGUGAACAAUU
Molecule: long non-coding RNA, 834 nt
Organism: Daphnia pulicaria
Lineage: Eukaryota; Metazoa; Arthropoda; Branchiopoda; Diplostraca; Daphniidae
Exons: 4
Source: RefSeq, a predicted model, not a curated record